This 234-nucleotide unclassified non-coding RNA is filed under the name Hevea brasiliensis (rubber tree). The record is from RNAcentral. Lineage: Eukaryota; Viridiplantae; Streptophyta; Magnoliopsida; Malpighiales; Euphorbiaceae.
ACAACCUCUCAAAACCAAGAGCAGAAGCAACAAUUACAUGCAGGAAUUUAUGGACAACAUUCAAUGGAUGAACAAGAUGAGCCCCAUCAGCAACUUAUAAAGGUGGAACAAAAGAGGCAACAACUAGAAGAGAGCCUAUGCAACAUGAUGAUAAGUUAGAACAAGAAACCAAAAAGUUAGAAUUGUCGUCUCAAAAGAUUCAACAACAAAACUUGCUAUCAAAUUUGAAUCAAA